UCCCUCUCAUGUGUUUGUAGUCACUUGUUCAACAAGUGGAAUUUGAGCCUAACUCAUGUUAUAAGACUAAUCCCCUAAGGAGGUAGGAAUGACUUCAAACGAUCCACUAAACAACUCCUAUUGUUUAAUGGAUAUGAGUAUGCUUAUUGGAAAGAGAAGACACAACUAUUUAUAGAGGGGAUGGAUUUAUGAUAUUUGGGAUGCUCUAAAAAACUUGUUCCCACAAAUCUUGUCGAUGGUGUUUUGGAAAACAAAUCUAGAUAAAUCUGGAUCAAAGAGGAUAAGGAAAAGGUGAAAUACAAUUAGAAGGAAAAAACUAUUAUCACCAUCUCCCUUGGUAUUGAUGAUAUCUUUUGUGUUUCUCACUGUGAAUCUGCAAAAGAAAUGUGAGACACCUUUAAAGUUUCCCAUGAUGGUACAACUGAGAUAAAAAGAGGAAGAAUAGAAUGAACACAUUGACCCAUGAGUACGAAUUAUUUAGAAUAAAACCUAUGGAAAACAUUCAAAACAUGGAAAAACAUUUUAUCCUAAUUAUGAAUCAUUUGAAAACUCUAGGCAAAACUUUUCUAAAUGAGGAUUUGAUUAUCUAAGUUCUUAGAUGCCUAAAUCGCGUUUGGCAACCUAAUGACACUAGGAUUUCUGAAUCUUAAGAUUUAUCUUCUAUAGAUUUGGCUAUAUUGUUUGGAAAAUUAUAGGAAUAUGAAAUUUAACAACAACAAAAAAGCUAGCAAAAAAUGAAGGUGAUAAAAAGAAGAAAAAUCUUGCACUAAAAGCUAAAGAUGUCAAAGACAUGGAAUCAGAUGAUGAAAAUUGUCAAAGUAAAAAUGAUAAAGACAUGUAUCUCUUAUCUCGGAAAUUCAAAGACUUCAUAAACCACAAAAAAUAACCUCACAAAUUCCAGAUGCAAAAUAAAUAAAUAUCAACUGUCAUUUCAAUUUUCUUCGAGUGUGGAAAAAAAGGGCACAUAAAGCUAGAAUGUCUGCAAAAUCAAAGGAAAUCUAUAAGAUACAAAAGACCUCAAAAAUAUUCAUAGAUAGCUUACAUUACUUGGAACGACAAUGACAUGAACUCCUCCAAUGAAUUUAUAAAAGAGGAAGAAAUCAACCUAUAUGUAAUGAAAAACCACAAAGAAAAUAAGAUUAAUAAUAUAACUUUUAAAUUUACUUAUAAUUAGCUAUAUUCCUCAUAUGUAAAGAGUUAGAUAGACAAUCAAGUAAAUUAAAAAAUGUGUUUCUCCUUCUAAGGCUACUAUUUCUUCUCUUGAAAUAGAAAAUAAUAAUUUGCUGGAAGAAAUAGAUAACCUUAGAGAAAAACAAAGUGUUCUCAUUCAAAGCUCUUGUUCCCCUUCUUCUCCUUCUUAUGAUGAUUUUGUUCAACCUAUUAAGUGUGAACACUAUGAUAUUUUAGAAAAUAAAAUUGGCGAUAUGCAUAACACACUUGAUUAGUUUACUAAAGAAAAAGAUAACUUAAAUCGCAUUCUAGAUAGUCAAAGAGCCUCCUAUAAUAAAGUUGAUCUAGAUUAUGAACUUAAAAUAAUGCUAAAAAUUUUAGUAACAUAUGUCAUACGAAUAGGAUCUCUAAAUAAAACUUAACUACAAUAAUAAAAAUGGUCAUGCUACUUUAUUCCGUUUUAUUAAAAAAAAAUCAUGAAAGUAAAAAUGUCUAUUAUACUUCUCAUUUCUACAAAGAAUACCCAUGAAAAUAAAAUAAAAAAUAUUUAAAAUAUUUAUGCUUCAUCCUACUUCUAUAAUAAUAAUUCUAGUUGAAAACCUAGAGAUAAUAUGCAUUUUACUAAUGCAAGAGCACCAAAAAUGAUUUUGAUAUCAACUAUUAAAAAAUUAAAACUUUGAAGAAAAAAAUCAAUGAUAACUCAUAAGUGGUAUUCUUAAAAUUUUGAACAAAAUUUCGAUGAUAUCUUAUCGGUGGCAUUUUUGAAAUUUUGAACAAAAAUUCUAUGAUAUCCAACCGAUAGAAAUUUCGAAAGAAAAUAUAGUUUACUUUUAUUUUUAAAUAUGGACUUUGGAGUUAUCCCCUCGAUAUACUAUUAUUCUAAGUAUUUUUACAUAUAGUUCAACUUAUAGUUAUUUAACGAUCGAACACCAUUCUUAGACGAUGACUUAUAUGACGUCCAUGUAUGUUGAACAACUUAUUUUCUUGAUAAUUCUGAGUCAAUUUAAGUGUUUUUAUGAGCUAUUGAAAGAAUCAUAAUCGAUUAGAUUUGGACCAUUUAAUGGGUUCGAAAAAAGUACAGGGUAUUUACAUGUUCCCCCUACAAUGGCAGGGAGACUCAUAGAUCCUAAUAGGUAUAUUAUAUGGAUAGGGUGAUGCUAACGGUUGGUUGUGAGUACCUAUGUAUGUUGGUUUCUAAGGCUGUUUUGAGGACCAACUCACGUGAGGUGAGGGGUCCUGCUGAUGGUCAGUGCUACUAUUGUAGGCAGACAGUUAGAUUAUCGAUAUUAGGACUGCUGGGAGCGAAGCACUCACUGAGCAGUAUGGGUGGUAUUGAGAGAAUAUGACUUGAUCCCCUAUCCCUUUGAGGGAUGAGAUAUUUAUAAGGAUUUCUGGUUCAUAUGGCUUUCUUGGAAAAUGUUGUCUCCCUCUCAGUCAAACGGUGGACCGUUGAAUUCCUAUUUCCAAGGGAUAUAUGGGUCAAUAACUAUCUUGUUUUUCGUGUUAUCUAAGACACGUCUUAUCCCACGUUUCUUCUUCCCAGAUACGAGAAAAAUGUAGGGGGUAAGGUGGUACCUGUAACACCAUAAACCAAGAAACUUAUAUAAAAAGAUUUAAUCGACAAUUCAAAGUGUCACCACGACAACCAACCAACAUAAAUUUCAAACAUUUAUCAACAUGCAUUGGAAAAUCAUUUCAUAACAACUUCAAAAAUAAACUUCGCAAAUAAAACACAUAAUCCAGUGUUUAACUCAAAACAUAUAAAAAAUGCCUUGUUCGCGAUGUUAUGAGAUCAAAGCACUAAAGCCACUAAAACUGCGAUAAAAUGAUAAAUAAACGAAGAAUAAAUUCAAUAAGAUACCUUCCACACACAACAAUAACUUUACUCCUGAUUAUCUGCAAGAUGUCCAUGGGGGACAACAUUAAGAAAAUGGGGUGAGAAAUAAACUUUGGUAUAAAACAGUAUAAAUAAUUCAAAGGUAGAUAAACACACAAGAUAUCAUACAUUCAAUACACACUAACAUCAUCACAAUCUCACAUCCAUUUAAUAAAACAGUAUAAUAUACAAAUAUAUGCAAUGCAACUCACGAGAGAAUGUGACACUAUGCAUGUGAUACCAAGUCAACAUUUGGUUCUCUCAAGAACGGGGUCCCCCCUUCUGAAGCCAUGAGCUCCUCCGUCUGAGCGCCAAGCUCCCCCUCCCCCCCUUCUGAGCUUGGGACAAGCCACUAGUUCCCCCUUCUGAACUAGAAAACAUGUCUCUUUCAAUAACACGACACAAUGAUGCAUGUCAAAUAUAAAUCAAUACAACAACAAAAAUAAUGCUUAUGGUCCCCCUUCUGAUCAUAACCAACAUUUAUUGACACACAAUAAUAAUUCCCCCCUUCUGAACUACUAUCCACCAAUUAUAACAACAAUGCAUACAAGCAUACAAAUAGUCACCCCUUCUGACCAUAACCAACAUGCUAAAUCACUGAUUUACGUACUUUAUUCUUCGAUUUCAUGAAAUCCACAUUUAGGUUUCAAGCCUUCAAAACAUCAACGAUGACAUACAUCACAUAAACAUAAAACAUAAUUUCACAGACACAAAUUUAGUCACGAAAAUCAGAUAACAACACAUUCAAUCAUCAAUUUUCAGAUUAUCAUACCACAACAACAAUUCAUAAUAGAUUUCAUACAAUCCAUAAAGAGAGUAAGGGUCCCUCUUCUACCUUUUCAUGCAAAACACCCAUAUAGAAGCACUCCCACCUUACCUCAGAUUCCUAGCAGCAAAAUUUAGAAUUUGAUCAACGUUGGUGGUUUGAGUUCUUCCCUCUUCAAGUCCUAACCUCCUUUUUUCUCCAAAAGCUCUCACAUUACAUAUUCUCCCUUAAAAACUCUAUUAACCUUUUUUUAUCUCUAAAACCUAAUUUAAUCUUUUAUUAAUUAUAUUUUGGCCCAAUUUUUUUUUGUAAUUCUCAUUGCUUCCCUUAUUUCUCUUAAUUCAUAUUUUCCAUCCAAAACCUCUCUUUCUAUUUUAUUUUAAUUAAUUAAAAACAAUUAUUAAUCAUAAUUAUUUCUAAUUAUUUAAAUCAUUUUAUCCUCCCACCAAUACUCUCACUACCAUAUGCCGCAUACACAUGUCACUAAUAAUAUAUAUAAUUAAAAGAGAACUACAUACUAAAUAAUUAAAUAAAAACACGAAUAAUUUGAUUAAAUAUAUUAAUCAAAUUCAGGGUGUUACAAUACCUCAAUUCGGGAAGUCUUGCGUUGUCGACCCUUUUCCUAAGACGAUCCCGAGUUGUCUCCCUAGGCAGGUUACUUACGAAUAUAACACAAUAUAUAUUAGUCAUAUUAAUAUGAUUUAAUCUAAAAUAUGUAAAAAUAAUUAUAU
RNAcentral lists this long non-coding RNA (4543 nucleotides) under Lathyrus oleraceus (garden pea). RNAcentral's name for it is "Pisum sativum (pea) long non-coding RNA (PSAT_LNC038726)". The record is from RNAcentral. Lineage: Eukaryota; Viridiplantae; Streptophyta; Magnoliopsida; Fabales; Fabaceae.